RNAcentral lists this long non-coding RNA (1897 nucleotides) under Manihot esculenta (cassava). RNAcentral describes it as "long non-coding RNA (MESC_LNC010282)". The record is from RNAcentral. Lineage: Eukaryota; Viridiplantae; Streptophyta; Magnoliopsida; Malpighiales; Euphorbiaceae.
UCGGGGCUCAGUUUUGGGCCAAUAGGAAAUCUGUUAUACAAAUUUGGAGAUUGAACCAGUUUUAGCUGACUAAAACCCAAGAACAAGGUGGCACGGGAGUGUUUUUAUGCUGGGAUUGGUUGGUUUGAGGUACGAUUUAACUGGGCCUCUUUAGGCGAAACUAGCCUGGCCCAGAGGCGCGUUUUCUUUUGUUUCAAAGAGACCUUCCUCCUGACCGCCGGUUCUCUCUCUCUCUCUCUCUCUCUCUUUUAUAUUACAUUUUAUAGUUGCAUCCCUUGAUCUCUUUCCAUUCAUCAGAAUCCUAUGUGUUUGUGAGCUUCUUCGAUUUUAAUUUGGAGCAAUGCAUUGUUUUACUGAGGAAUUCUGGUAUCCAAAAGAAAUUAUUGGAGUACUUGGGGCAUUUGCGUUGAUCACCACUUGAAUCUCGAUUUUGUGGCUUCUCCAAUUACUUUUCCCCGUUGAUUUUGUUUUCAAUUCGAUUUUUGUUCCUCUAAAGAUUGAGGUUGAUCUCAAGUGUGAUGAGCAUCUUACCUACUUCGGGGGCCAGAAAAGAAGCAAGUCUUUUCUCAUAUUGUUAUUAGUUAUUAAACUCUGUGGUUUGACUGUUUGCUUCCAUUUAUGGACACUUGUAGCAUUAGAAGGAACUAGAUCCUAUUUUUUAACUGGCCAAUUGACCAUUAUUUUUUAAUUUUUCAUUCAAGAACUUUUUGGCAAUUUAAUUGAAGAAGAUAUUAAAACAGUAGAUCCUACAAUAGGUUGUAGUUUCAAUAAUUAUGGAUUACAGGUGAUAACGUUUCAUGCUUGAUUUAAUUAUUGAUUCCUUGGGUUUCUUUUAUGACUCUUCCUUCCAGCAGUUGCAUCUGGGACAUUUUUUAUGUGCUGUUAAUUUUUAUACCAGUAAAGCUUAGUAGAGGAUUUAGUUGUUUGAGCUGAUGAUGAGUAAAAUGCGUUUGCUAUGAUUGGGAGAGUUUUCUGUGAUGUUACCCCACAUCACUUAGAUGCUGCGUAGCUGAGGAAGCAAGGCUGAAAAGCAAACAAGCCAAGCUAAAACAUCUUAAUUUCUAAGUGGCUAUCUUUUUGCAAAAAGAAACCUGCAUACUUCAGGGAAGAUGUUUAAUUAGGAAAUAUCAGAUAUUGGAUCUGAAUCCGGGGCCAGAAAGCAUCUUUAUAUUCUGUUUACUUUGCUGCCAAAGCUUUUCGAUGAAUAUGUCCUCCGCCUCCUCCCAUCCUCUUCUCUUUUAACAUUUGUUUGAUGUUGCUCUUUGUUUUUAAUUUGCAGGUUAUUUUCAUAACCUAGCUCCUGCCAAGGUCUGUAUAUAUUUAAUCUCUUGUCUGCAUUUUAGCUUUUCUAUAUGCUUAUUGCUACCUCUUUUCAUGCUUAUUAGCUUUUCUAUAUGAUAUGAACCAUCUCUAUCUUUCUUUUUUUAACUUUUUAUCAUAGAAUAUAUUUUUUCCUUGGUCGUGAAAAGACUCAUGUUUAUUUAUGUGUUAACAACCUUAUUUUGUUACAGGCAUUUAUUCUGGGUGUUUCUGCCAUUCCAGUUAUUACCUCAGUUUCGAUAUGAUAUAGAGGAAUUCUUUUAUAGAGCGGUCAUUGCUUUAUGCAUGAUUUGGAGUUUGACAGAUCAUUCUCUAUGAUUUUAUCUCUAUAAUAUAUGUCUUCAUAUCUAAAUUAAUCAAAUGGAGUUUGACAGCAAAACUAGAAAAGUGGAAAGCGAAUAAUCAUAAAUUUGAUAUAUUUCCCUCACUGUGAUUUUUUCUUGCUUGAUACAAAUUUUUUAAUGGUUUCUCUUUCAUUGAGUUUAAGAUUUUCUCAAUGAAGCCCUUGAGAUGUGUAAGGGAGGGUAAGAUUCAAGGAACACAUGAUUGACCCUAGAUUUAUUGAGCUGUUAUUUUG